UGGGGAAUUUUGCACAAUGGGGGAAACCCUGACGCAGCGACGCCGCGUGCGGGAUGAAGGCCUUCGGGUUGUAAACCGCUUUUGAUUGGGAGCAAGCUUUCGGGUGAGUGUACCUUUCGAAUAAGCGCCGGCUAACUACGUGCCAGCAGCCGCGGUAAUACGUAGGGCGCAAGCGUUAUCCGGAAUUAUUGGGCGUAAAGAGCUUGUAGGCGGUUCGUCGCGUCUGGUGUGAAAGCCCAUCGCUUAACGGUGGGUUUGCGCCGGGUACGGGCGGGCUAGAGUGCAGUAGGGGAGACUGGAAUUCCCGGUGUAACGGUGGAAUGUGUAGAUAUCGGGAAGAACACCAAUGGCGAAGGCAGGUCUCUGGGCUGUUACUGACGCUGAGAAGCGAAAGCGUGGGGAGCGAACAGG
This 411-nucleotide ribosomal RNA is filed under the name Bacteroidota bacterium. RNAcentral describes it as "Bacteroidetes bacterium partial 16S ribosomal RNA". It matches the Rfam family "Bacterial small subunit ribosomal RNA", at positions 355 to 776 of the family's 1533-position model. Lineage: Bacteria; Pseudomonadati; Bacteroidota. The record is from RNAcentral.